AUGCAAGUCGAACGAGGUGCUUGCACCUAGUGGCGAACGGGUGAGUAACACGUGAGCAACCUGCCCUUGGCUCUGGGAUAGCCUCCGGAAACGGGGAUUAAUACCGGACAUGACCACCGUCGGCAUCGGCGGUGGUGGAAAGUUUUUCGGCCAGGGAUGGGCUCGCGGCCUAUCAGCUUGUUGGGGGGGUAACGGCCCACCAAGGCGACGACGGGUAGCCGGCCUGAGAGGGCGACCGGCCACACUGGGACUGAGACACGGCCCAGACUCCUACGGGAGGCAGCAGUGGGGAAUAUUGCGCAAUGGGGGAAACCCUGACGCAGCGACGCCGCGUGCGGGAUGAAGGCCUUCGGGUUGUAAACCGCUUUCACCGGGGACGAAGCGAGAGUGACGGUACCCGGGGAAGAAGCGCCGGCUAACUACGUGCCAGCAGCCGCGGUAAUACGUAGGGCGCAAGCGUUGUCCGGAAUCAUUGGGCGUAAAGAGCUCGUAGGCGGCCUGUCGCGUCUGCUGUGAAAUCCCGGGGCUUAACCCCGGGCGUGCAGUGGAUACGGGCUGGCUGGAGGCAGGCAGGGGAGAACGGAAUUCCCGGUGUAGCGGUGAAAUGCGCAGAUAUCGGGAGGAACACCGG
RNAcentral lists this ribosomal RNA (631 nucleotides) under uncultured bacterium. RNAcentral describes it as "bacterial SSU rRNA". It matches the Rfam family "Bacterial small subunit ribosomal RNA", at positions 55 to 712 of the family's 1533-position model. The record is from RNAcentral.